This 724-nucleotide ribosomal RNA is filed under the name uncultured Burkholderiales bacterium. Its description in RNAcentral is "bacterial SSU rRNA". It matches the Rfam family "Bacterial small subunit ribosomal RNA", at positions 29 to 748 of the family's 1533-position model. The record is from RNAcentral. Lineage: Bacteria; Pseudomonadati; Pseudomonadota; Betaproteobacteria; Burkholderiales.
UUGAACGCUGGCGGCAUGCCUUACACAUGCAAGUCGAACGGCAGCACGGACUUCGGUCUGGUGGCGAGUGGCGAACGGGUGAGUAAUAUAUCGGAACAUACCCAGUAGUGGGGGAUAACUAUCCGAAAGGAUAGCUAAUACCGCAUACGAUCUGUGGAUGAAAGCAGGGGAUCUUCGGACCUUGUGCUAUUGGAAUGGCCGAUAUCUGAUUAGCUAGUUGGUAGGGUAAAAGCCUACCAAGGCGACGAUCAGUAGCUGGUCUGAGAGGACGACCAGCCACACUGGAACUGAGACACGGUCCAGACUCCUACGGGAGGCAGCAGUGGGGAAUUUUGGACAAUGGGGGCAACCCUGAUCCAGCAAUGCCGCGUGAGUGAAGAAGGCCCUCGGGUUGUAAAGCUCUUUUGUCAGGGAAGAAACGGAGUUCUCUAAUAUAGGAUUCUAAUGACGGUACCUGAAGAAUAAGCACCGGCUAACUACGUGCCAGCAGCCGCGGUAAUACGUAGGGUGCAAGCGUUAAUCGGAAUUACUGGGCGUAAAGCGUGCGCAGGCGGUUUUGUAAGUCUGAUGUGAAAUCCCCGGGCUCAACCUGGGAACUGCAUUGGAGACUGCAAGGCUAGAGUGUGUCAGAGGGGGGUAGAAUUCCACGUGUAGCAGUGAAAUGCGUAGAGAUGUGGAGGAAUACCGAUGGCGAAGGCAGCCCCCUGGGAUAACACUGACGCUC